GCUAAACGCGAAGAACCUUACCUGGCCUUGACAUCCAUGGAAUCCCGAAGAGAUUCGGGAGUGCCGCAAGGAACCAUGAGACAGGUGCUGCAUGGCUGUCGUCAGCUCGUGUCGUGAGAUGUUGGGUUAAGUCCCGCAACGAGCGCAACCCUUGUCCUUAGUUGCCAUCAUUAAGUUGGGGAACUCUAAGGAGACCGCCAGCGAUAAGUUGGAGGAAGGUGGGGAUGACGUCAAGUCAUCAUGGCCUUUAUGGCCAGGGCUACACACGUGCUACAAUGGCAGGUACAGAGGGAAGCCAACCAGCAAUGGGGAGCCAAUCCCAGAAAGCCUGUCUUAGUCCGGAUUGCAGUCUGCAACUCGACUGCAUGAAGUUGGAAUCGCUAGUAAUCGCAGAUCAGCAUUGCUGCGGUGAA
RNAcentral lists this ribosomal RNA (413 nucleotides) under uncultured bacterium. RNAcentral describes it as "bacterial SSU rRNA". It matches the Rfam family "Bacterial small subunit ribosomal RNA", at positions 954 to 1366 of the family's 1533-position model. The record is from RNAcentral.